Molecule: long non-coding RNA, 253 nt
Organism: Antechinus flavipes (yellow-footed antechinus)
Lineage: Eukaryota; Metazoa; Chordata; Mammalia; Dasyuromorphia; Dasyuridae
Exons: 2
Source: RefSeq, a predicted model, not a curated record
CAUGUCUCUCUCCGUGUCCAACUCUCUCUCAGGAAAAAGGAGGAGAUAGUUGGACUCAGAGAGAGAAGAUGAUAAAGAGGGAGGGAGAGAAGGAGAGAGAAGAGGGACACAGAGAGAAAAGAGGUACAUAGAAAGGAGAGAGGCACACAGGACAGAUGGGUUCUUCCAGAGAUAGUGGGACACACGAGACAUCUCCCUCCCUCUAUUCUCUCUGUCCCUCUUUCUCACGUCUCUCUCUGUGUCCAACUCUCUC